RNAcentral lists this ribosomal RNA (270 nucleotides) under uncultured soil bacterium. Its description in RNAcentral is "partial 16S ribosomal RNA". It matches the Rfam family "Bacterial small subunit ribosomal RNA", at positions 26 to 281 of the family's 1533-position model. The record is from RNAcentral.
AGAAUCAACGCUGGCGGCGUGCCUAACACAUGCAAGUCGAACGCGAAAGGGGAGCAAUCCCUGAGUAGAGUGGCAAACGGGUGAGCAACACGUGGGUGACCUGCCUUCGAGUGGGGGAUAACGUCCCGAAAGGGACGCUAAUACCGCAUGACAUCCUGCUUUUGGAAAAGCGGAGAUCAAAGCUGGGGAUUCGCAAGAACCUAGCGCUUGAAGAGGGGCCCGCGCCUGAUUAGCUAGUUGGUGAGGUAACGGCUCACCAAGGCUACGAUC